UGUUUCGAGUUACUCCGGAACACCCGGGAUUUUUCGUAUUUAGCCACGCCGGUCACGUGAUAUGAGCAAAAUGUUCCACAGGGGUACUUCCGGUUAAUUUUGUUUACACUGGUAACAAAAUUGUUUUUGACAAAAUAUAGAUUUUGCGGCACAAACUGUCGCAAAUCAGAUAAAGGAUAGCAAGGGAUAUAUAUUUACUUGGGAAGAUGUCAAAGUUUACCUUUUCCCAAACCCGGGAUAAGCGUUCACGCAGAGGAAACGAUGGUGUCAUUUGUGUAGAAAACCACGAGCAGCCGAAAUUGAGUGCGAUUAUUACAUUCCGUGAAAGCUGAACCAACAAAGAAACAUCAUUGUUCUAGCCAGUUUGCUUAUAUUAACUUUUAGGAAAACCAAGAGGUUGAUAACAAUGGCUGAUCUGCAUAUAAUGACUGCUAGUUAUUGGCUGGUAUGCAGUGAAAGGGAGCUAAAAAGGAGUAAAAAGUUCAUAUCAGCCAGGUGAGAAUUAAUUUCUUCUUUUUUGUGUGUUAUACAUAUGUAAUUCUUUUCUAUUGCUGCUUCAAAUCUUGUGUAUUUGAAAAUUUUCAGUCUAAUAUUUGGCAAUGUUAUAGGUAGUGUGGUUUAAAUAAACCAGUGUUAAGGAAUAUCCAGUAAUGACAUGACGUCAUGAGAGUUUGGUAUACCGACAUUCAGAUGAUUAAUGAUGAAACUGAAGACCUCAAGUGAAAGGCAUGGAAAAUUAUCCUGUUCCCAUUAACCUGAAAAAGAGGAGGGAUGCCACAAUAUUGAUAAUAGACUUUUGUCAAUUUGAGAAGCAAAGAUGUAAAAAAUAAAAUAAAAUAAAUAAAUAAUGCUGAAAUUAUAAUUCAUGUAUUUGUUAAAAAUACUGUUCACUGUACAUACAUGUAUAUUUUUUUAACUUAUUUGGAAAUACAUGAAGUAAUUCAUAUUAAAACUGAAUGUAUGAGUUUUCAUGAUUUUUAUCAAUAAAGCUUACCAUAUUUAUUG
This is a long non-coding RNA of Ostrea edulis (European flat oyster), 1005 nucleotides long. RefSeq lists it as uncharacterized. The transcript is spliced from 2 exons. NCBI's taxonomy places the organism in Eukaryota, Metazoa, Mollusca, Bivalvia, Ostreida, Ostreidae. The record is from RefSeq and is a predicted model, not a curated record.